RNAcentral lists this ribosomal RNA (697 nucleotides) under Staphylococcus aureus. RNAcentral's name for it is "bacterial SSU rRNA". It matches the Rfam family "Bacterial small subunit ribosomal RNA", at positions 1 to 680 of the family's 1533-position model. Lineage: Bacteria; Bacillati; Bacillota; Bacilli; Caryophanales; Staphylococcaceae. The record is from RNAcentral.
UUUAUGGAGAGUUUGAUCCUGGCUCAGGAUGAACGCUGGCGGCGUGCCUAAUACAUGCAAGUCGAGCGAACGGACGAGAAGCUUGCUUCUCUGAUGUUAGCGGCGGACGGGUGAGUAACACGUGGAUAACCUACCUAUAAGACUGGGAUAACUUCGGGAAACCGGAGCUAAUACCGGAUAAUAUUUUGAACCGCAUGGUUCAAAAGUGAAAGACGGUCUUGCUGUCACUUAUAGAUGGAUCCGCGCUGCAUUAGCUAGUUGGUAAGGUAACGGCUUACCAAGGCAACGAUGCAUAGCCGACCUGAGAGGGUGAUCGGCCACACUGGAACUGAGACACGGUCCAGACUCCUACGGGAGGCAGCAGUAGGGAAUCUUCCGCAAUGGGCGAAAGCCUGACGGAGCAACGCCGCGUGAGUGAUGAAGGUCUUCGGAUCGUAAAACUCUGUUAUUAGGGAAGAACAUAUGUGUAAGUAACUGUGCACAUCUUGACGGUACCUAAUCAGAAAGCCACGGCUAACUACGUGCCAGCAGCCGCGGUAAUACGUAGGUGGCAAGCGUUAUCCGGAAUUAUUGGGCGUAAAGCGCGCGUAGGCGGUUUUUUAAGUCUGAUGUGAAAGCCCACGGCUCAACCGUGGAGGGUCAUUGGAAACUGGAAAACUUGAGUGCAGAAGAGGAAAGUGGAAUUCCAUGUGUAGCG